Molecule: long non-coding RNA, 219 nt
Organism: Centruroides sculpturatus (bark scorpion)
Lineage: Eukaryota; Metazoa; Arthropoda; Arachnida; Scorpiones; Buthidae
Exons: 2
Source: RefSeq, a predicted model, not a curated record
CUCGGAUUCAGCUGUUUAAAUAUUACAAGUCUUUGUAAUAUUUAAAGACAUGCCAGUUAAGAUGUAUGAAAAUUGGUAUACAAUAUUCAAUAUGCUGCUGCAAAUACGAGAUGUGAUUUUAGGAACAACAUCGUCAUCUUGUACAUCAACACCUAUUUGGAAACCUUCAGGCAACUUCAGUAAUGGUAUAUCGAAAUAAAUAUUUGAAAUUCUGAGAAA